UCUCUUUUUUAUUGUUUAGAAAAAUAGAGUGGGAGAUUGAGAGAGCAAAGUUUCGUCGUUGAAGUUUACUCGUAGCCAAACUCUGCUUUUAAGAUUGAAGUGGGAGGGCUCGUGACAUAUAUAUAUAUGUCUGCAUCGUAAUCAAGAACCAGAGGUGAUUUCAGAGUCUGCUUUUAAGGUUUUGCAAUUACACGGAGCAGAUGACAAUGAACAAAGAAAACAUGUCACUGUCGCGGAUACGUUUAGUCAGCUAACACUAAGUGGUGCUUGUGCCGGAGGAAUUUUUUCCAGCUAUGACUGACUAGUCCUGAUGUAUCGCCACUUUAUUUCACGAUUGCUUCUAAAGAGAGCGUUGCAAGAAAAUGGCAACUAAUUAAUGAGAACGUUGCAAGAAAAUUGUGCCAGUCGGUACAGCAAAAUUAAAGUAGUGCCCAAAUCCAAAAAAACAUA
This is a long non-coding RNA of Capsella rubella, 450 nucleotides long. RefSeq lists it as uncharacterized. The record is from RefSeq and is a predicted model, not a curated record. The transcript has 4 exons. Lineage: Eukaryota; Viridiplantae; Streptophyta; Magnoliopsida; Brassicales; Brassicaceae.